GGGAAAAGAUUGCUUAGAAUUCAAGCCAGAGAGAUGGAUAACUGAAAAAGGAGACAUUAAACAUGAACCUUCAUACAAGUUUACGGCUUUUAAUGCAGGGCCAAGAGCUUGUUUAGGAAAGGAUAUGGCUUUCACUCAAAUGAAGAUUCUUGCGACGACCAUCAUACAUCGUUAUAGUAUUCAGGUGGUUGCAGGUCAUCCUAUAGUCCCAAAAGGUUCUGUUAUUCUGGAAAUGAAAUAUGGAUUCAGAAUCAGGGUGGAAAAACGAAGUGAGGGCAAGUAAUUGCAUCACAAGAAUGAACCGCCUGUUCUCUAUGUCAAAAUCUAGUCGUAAUAUGUAAGUUGUUUGUUAAUCUUUCAAUAAUAAUUGUUAAAGACACGGCAACUUGAAGUCAUAUCGACAUUGAAACACCUUAACAAUAUAAUUGUUAAAAACAUAGUAAUAAUUAUCGUUGCUAUAUGCAUUUAAAUACACAGGAAGUCAUAUCAAUAAUUAUCGUUGCCAUAUGCAUCUAAAUACACUUGAAGUCAUAUCGACUUUAAAACACCUUAACAAUAUAAUUGUUAUAAAACAUAGUAAUAAUUAUUGUUGCCAUAUGCAUCUAGAUACACUUGAAGUCACAUCGACAUUGAAACACCUUAACAAUAUAAUGAUACGUAAAACUUGCACAUAUGCAUUAUUUAACUAUGAUUGGGUAUGAGAUCAUGUUCGGGUUUUUCUCUACACUUUUAAAUUUGAAUCCCAAUUUGUAUGCAAAUUUUCAAAAAGUGUAUAGACUUAAUACCAGAUUUUUAAUGUGAAAGUUGAGAAUCAUGUCACUCUCGGAAGACUUAAAAACAAUCAUUUUUAUGUCCAAGUCUAAUUCAAAUUGAUCGCUCGAUAGUCACUUGUAUAUUCGCAUGCAUAUAUAGCUUAUUAUUAUUGAAGAGAAAUAGAGAAGAACCUGGAGCGAGAGUAAGUUUUAGCAAAACUUCGGCGGGAGAAACACCCAACGCCGGGGAAGUAUGCGCCAAAGAUCAUCACUAUUGCUGUGCUGUGCAGGGUUAGCUGAUUUCUUACUUAGUUAAUUAUCAAGUAGCGAGAUAGGCAGGCCCAUUGCCAAGCCCAAUUACUACGGGCCUUAUGUCCACCAGCCCAGUCUGAGAUAAUCCAAAUUUUCAAAUACUCAAGUUUAAAAAGUAUUUCAAUCCAUCCUCCGCGACAAAUUUGGGUUUUAUAUGAAAAACUCCAUCAUUUUUCAUAUUAAAAAUUUUAUAGUAUAUGUUUUUAAAAUGUAAGUAUUUUUGAAAUAAAAAUAAAACUACUUCAAAAGUCAUGGAAAAAUAUUUACAGCAUGUAUGUUUGUAUAUGAUAUAAUUGUCCAAUAAUUUGUGUUAUACAAAAUUAUGAUAUUAUUCAUUAAAAAAUUGAUAUCUUAUUUUAUAAUCCCCGUCUCAUUUUAGUUGUCACAUUGCUAUUUUUGUUGGUUGAAUUGACUAAGUUUUGACCAAAGAUUAUAAGUGACUCGUUCAUUAUUUUAAAAACUGAAAAUUACAUAUUAAAGUAGGUUCAAAGUUAUCUCUGGUGACUUUUUUUUUAUUUUUUCAAUUGAUAAUUAAUAUUAAUAAAUUCCAGUCAAAUUUUGUAAAUUUGACCGGCACAAAAUCAAAUGUGACAACUAUACAAACGGAUGGCGGGAGUAGUAUAAGAGUUAAGUUCCUUGAUGCUUUGUUUCAGUGGAGUUGGGAGUCCUCCGAGCUCAUUCGUAAAUAAAUGACUGAGCGGAGGGAGUAUGAGUUUGUACCUGUACACGAAGAGGUGUAGUUGAGCAUCAUAUAAACCCUAGAGAAGUGAGAACGCAGGAUGACUAGCAAUUUCUUUAAUAGCUUCGUGUCUUGUAGUAUUGAACUACAGUUGAACCUUUUUAAAGCAAUACUCCUCGGACCAGGAAAAAAUAUUACUUUAUCGAAUUUCUAUAUGUUUACAAAUUAUAAUUCAUUGUUUUUAAAAACAAGAAUCAGUCACAUGCGAUGUAUUUGAUUUAAAAUUACUUUUAUAAUAUUUAAUCAUAUGUGAAACUAAAUUCAUGCAUGCACUAGACGAUAAUAAUGUCAUCCCAAGCGUGUAAUCAAAAGAAGCACUUCAAGCAAUCAACACUUUAAACAAUUACUUGUUACAACAUGAGCAAAACAUACCGGGAGUUAUUUAUGCUUUACAUAAAGUCAAUGAUGAGGUUAGUUUUGGCCUUGGUGGAAAGAAAAAACAAGCUAUUAUAGAUUCAUAUUUUAAAAAGAACUGAAUUUUGUAAUUCAUAUACAUUAUGUAUAUAUAUAAUGGGUCGCGCUCAAGGGAGAACCACUCCUUAAAAUAGAACCAUAGAACCACUAGGGUUCUGCUGCAGAACCCUAAAUUUUAAAUAGAUUUUUAGGAUCUAAAUUUAAAUACAUGUUUUUUUUCAUGUUUUUUCAUCGUUGUGUGUGUUCAAAAAUAAUUUAAAAAUAUAAUCCAUAGAUAUUGACAUUUUUUUUGUGAAGUUCUGCUGUAGAACCCCAACUCAUACUUAAGUUCUGCUGCAGAACCCUUACCCAAUAAGGUAAGGGUUCUAUGGUUCUUUCUCUAAUGGUUCUCUCUGGAACAUGACCCUAUAUAUAAUUCAUGAAUUAUUACUUUACAUAUUACCAUGCGCCUUUAAUGAAUUUCUAAAUAUUUAUUAUCUUAUACUUUUAGCAAAAAUAUUACUUUACAACAUUGGCCAAGUUGUAACCGACAAAAUUUAUUACUUAAGUGAGGUUAUUACUUUAUCGGAUAUUAAUUAAUCGAGGUUUAACUGUAUGCCUUUCUUCCCUGUACCUGAGUGCUUUAGAAACUCCAAAAAAUUAUCGAAAUGAAUUAGAAUGAUAUUGCACCACAAGAAACUGAACUUAAUUACUGCAUCGCUGAACUUAAUCACUGCAUUACUGGAAUUUUUAAAACCGGAAGCAAUAUGUUGGAUUUAGGUUAAGCAUGUGCGGCUGGUUUGAGACCGUCUUCUCAUUUAUAAUCGCUUAUCUGAAGUAAUAAGUAUGUGAUUAAUUGUUUUAUAAAAUUUGACUUUAUAAAAAUGUAUAAGAUAAUUUCAAAAUUACUUUAUAACAUUUUAUAAUUAUAUUGAUAAAAUAUUUAUACGCAAUAAGUUGUAAAGAUCCAAAAAGUUAUCCUAACACAUAAAUUAAAAACACAUAAAUUAAAAGUUAAUUUAUAAUUAUAAACAAUUUCCCCCAUAUACUACUUUUAAAUUAAGCCACCUAUAAGAGCAAGCCCAAUGCAAUUCCUUAUUUUCAACCCCUAAAAUAUUAUAUAAUAAUGGUUACCUAAAAUAUAGGAGACCAAAAAGUUGUUUUGCUCCAAUGGUAUUCCCUAUAUUGAUCCCCUGUAGCAGUGGUAAAUGACAGAAAAACAAGAGGAUAUAUGAGCUGGCGAUGACAUGGAGAAUAUAGGGGUUUGCUUUUUCAUCCCUCAAAUAAGGGGUUGAAAUUUCUCUCACCUAAAAUAAAUGAGGGAUAGGGAGUUGCGUUGGAGUUGUGUUUUUUGUUCUCAAUCCUCAAAUAUUGUCCAUGUAGACUAAAUAUAGGUAAGGAGUGGGUGCAUUGGAGUUGCUCUAAUUUACAUCUAUCAUCCCAAAAACCCGAACUAUAUAGUAGUAUGAAUGUAUGAUACUGUUGUUUUCUGAAAUCUCCUGAAAAGGUUCACUUGCUAGUUGCUACUUAUUAAUAGUCAGCCAAUGUCGCCGAUUACACAACGAGCUGACCCCGUCAAACUCAGCCACAAUUUGCCACCAGACUUCCCGAAGACCUGUACUAGAAUGUCACUGCUACGUACCUACCUCCCUGAGUCCAUACUCCAUACUACAAGAGCCUGACAGCCUGCCUGGCUAUGACAUAUUAUCCGCUAAAAUAUUAAUAACGAUAUGAAAUAUGAUUCAGCUGUCCAGCGACUCCCUCACCGUCUCGACAUUCAUGAAUUCAACCUUCUCCUCUAAUUUCCACCAGCAGGUUGCAAAAUCAGUUAAUCUUCGGUAUGGGGGUCUUUUUAUCAGUGGGCUCAGGAAAGAUCUUUUUGGUCUUCUGGUCAUUUAAGUUCUAAAAGAACCGGAAAGAUACGCAACCAAUUAACAAGGGAAGAUCUCAAUAAAGUUGAGUGAUGUUUACAUGUAACAAGAUACUACAGAAGACUUGUCUAAUGUACUUACUCUUUAUAGGUAUCAAGUUCAGCUCUUGCAGUUAAAGCACAAAUAGUUAGUUUUUUUUCUUUCUGAAAUAACUAAACUUAUCAAUCGCCAACUUUAGCUUGAAUUGCCUCUGCAACUUAAGCAAAUAAGUCAAGUAUGAAUCUGACUUCAUUACUUAUCUACUUCAACUUCUACAUACAAUUUCACGUAUUGUAAUAUUAACGCGACUCAAUCUGCAAAACAAAAUCUAUCGUUUUACUGUCAGGCAAACAAGUUCAACAUUUAAAUACAGCAUCUGAGACUGCAACUAAGAUUAGAACGCAUCUGAGACUGCAACUAAGAUUAGAACAUAUAAGUAGGAAUAUGUUAAUGUUAACAGAUGGAAGUGGGUGCAAUUAAGAUUAGAACAUAUAAGUAGGAAGUGGCUAUGACAUAUUAUCCGCUAAAAAUAUUAAUAAAUAUAAUUCAGCUGUCCAGCGACUCCCCCACUCUCUCUGACAUUCAUGAAUUCAACCUUCUCCCUUAAUUUCCACCAGCAGGUUUCAAAAUCACUUAAUCUUCGAUAUGGGGGCCUUUUUAUCAAUCGGCUCAAGGAAGAACUUUUUGGUCUUUGGAAGCCCGAGUGAUAAUGAAAAUACUCAGAUCUGUUUCCCCAUGAAAGCAAAUCAAUGUAACAAAGUUGCGUAUAUAUUCACUUCAAGGCAUACCUAAUUACCAACCAGAGUAUUUAACAAGCUCGCUACUGCACCUGAUGGGAGCGGCUGUAUUUAAAAGAAGAUGACAGCAAACCUGCCAGAGUACGACAACCGAAAGCAUAUCUCUCACAAGCACGACAGCUGAGAGCAUAAACGUCAAGUUGAUGAGGACACCCUUACCAGAAAGGGUGUACAUAGGUAUGCAUUAAACGAGAUGUGCAUAGGUAAGGUUUAGAGAUGGUCCAUAUGCCUUCUACAGAUCUUUAUGUUCUCAAAGAGUAGCUACCAAUUGCUAAGUUCUCAAACAGUAUAAACAACUCUUCCCACGAAAGAUAUUUUAAAGUGUUACAAAUAGAAAGUAAAACAAAAUCAGUCAAUAUGAUCCAAGCGGUGCUGCAUUAACUGCAAGAUGUACUUGACUUCUUGAGUAAGGAUCAGAACUGCUUUAUAUAUUGCUACCAAUUGCUGAUUUCUUAAACAUUUUAUACACAAAACAAAACCUCCAAGAUGGCUAUCAAUACAGCUAUGAACCUUGUCUUUCUCCCUCUGUCCAUAGUAAUAUUUCUCUACUUCUGUAUAAUUUGCAUACGCAAAGCUCCUUUGUUAACCAAUUGGCCCCUUGUGGGCAUGACACCCGGCUUGCUUAAGAAUGCUCAUAGAAUACACGACUUUGUUACAUGCCUUCUUCAACAAAGCCACCAUAAUUUUCAAUUCUAUGGACCUUUUCAAGCAAACAUGGACUUGCUUUUCACUUGCGAUCCUGCUAAUGUUAACUACAUCCUGAGCAAGAAUUUCACCAAUUAUCCCAAAGGCCCUGAGUUUGGAAAGAUUUUUGAUAUUCUUGGAGAGGGGAUCUUUAGUUCAGAUGGCCAUCUUUGGGAAGUUCAACGCAGAACUACCUUGUCAAUCUUCAAUCAUGCCCAGUUUUAUGAUAUGCUACAAAAGACCGUGGGGGAAAAGAUAGAAAAAGCACUGAUUCCACUACUUGAUCAUGUGUCUAAGCAUGGAAUCGAGGUGGAUUUGCAGGACAUAUUACAGAGACUUGCUUUCGAUAACAUAUGUUCCUUGCUUUUAGACCAUGACCUACAGAGUCUCUCCCUUGAUUUACCGUACAUUCCUUACCAGAAGGUUAUCCCAGAUGUUGAACAGGCGCUGCUUUAUAGACACUUAGUUCCUGAAAGCAUUUGGAAGCUACAAAGAUGAAUUGGAUUUAGCACAGAAAAAAGUCUAAGCAAAGCUCGGGAAACUAUUGAUGAAUUUAUAUAUACAUGCAUAUCCAUGAAGCGCAAACAAGUGGCACUUAAAAAUUCUGAUCACAUAUCUGCAGAAUUAGAUCUGUCAGCAGCGUACAUGGAAUUAGCAUACAAGGAAAACCCGGAAAAUCCUGAUAAAUUUUUCAGGGACGCUUUGGUUAAUAUGAUGGUUGGUGCGAGAGAUACAACUAGUACAGCACUUUCUUGGUUUUUCUGGCUUCUUUGGAAAAACCCAAUAACAGAAUCUAAGAUUCUACAGGAGAUCAAAACAAAUUUCAAUACAGAAGAUCUUAAAAGUUGCAAUCUUUUUAAGAAAAGGGAAGAGAUGCAUAAACUGGUUUAUCUGCAUGCAGCCUUGUGCGAGUCUUUAAGACUCUUCCCUCCAGCUCCUUUCAAUCACAAGGCUCCAAAACAAGCAGACGUUCUUCCAAGUGGCCAUCGGGUGGGCAAAAACUCAAAGAUCGUGUUGUCUUUUUAUUCGAUGGGAAGAAUGGAAGGCAUAUGGGGAAAAGAUUGCUUAGAGUUCAAGCCAGAGAGAUGGAUAACUGAAAAAGGAGGGAUUAAACAUGAACCUUCAUACAAGUUUACGGCUUUUAAUGCAGGGCCAAGAGCUUGUUUAGGAAAGGACAUGGCGUUCACUCAAAUGAAGAUUCUUGCCACGACUAUCAUACAUCGUUACAGUAUUCAGGUGGUUACAGGUCAUCCUAUAGUCCCAAAAGAUUCUGUUGUUCUGGAAAUGAAAUAUGGAUUGAGAAUCAGGCUGGAAAAAAGAAGCUGAGGGCAAGUAAUUGCAUCACAAGAAUGAACCAAGAAUGAACCACUUGUGCUCUAUGUCACAAUCUAGUCGUAAUAUAUAUAUAUAGAACUAUCGUUGCCAUAUGCAUCUGGACUCACUUGAAGUCCCAUCGACAUUGAAACGCCUUAGCAAUAUAUUGAUAUGUAAGACUAGCACAAAUAUGUGUUUGAAAUAAAAUGGCUAACAUACACCAAGGGCGGUGUAUGAGUGCUGUAGCAUAUUGAUAUAUUUCCUUUUCCCUCAACUGCACUUGUUUCCUUUUCCCUCG
RNAcentral lists this long non-coding RNA (7199 nucleotides) under Daucus carota (carrot). Its description in RNAcentral is "long non-coding RNA (DCAR_LNC003781)". The record is from RNAcentral. Lineage: Eukaryota; Viridiplantae; Streptophyta; Magnoliopsida; Apiales; Apiaceae.